UUUGGAAAAGGAAAGCAUGAGAAGCACACUACAGAGACUGAUCUAGAGAAGUUAUCACUGUGCUGGGUGGGAGUCAUUCAUCUGUCUGCUCUGGGAGUUACAGAUUCACAUGAAGUCCCAGGAUAGCUUCUGUCGGCUUUGGUGGCCUGUUGCAGCAGCCAGCAGCAGGAAACUUGAGGAGCUAUCAUCUCAGGAAUGAACGGGGCCACAUCAAUAAGGAGACCUGUAAUGAUGUGGCUCUAAAUGUCAGCUUUAAAAGCCUGGGAAUUGAUAGAGGAAGAGAGAAGAAAGGGUGUCCCAGUUUUCCACAUGCCGAAUGAUUCAGCAAAAUAAUGUGAGCAAGUCAAGACUCUGGAAAAUAUUUUUAGAUGCCAAACAAAAACCUGGAGGUAAAUCUCUGCUACACUGUCAGUUAGGUUCUUAGCAUCCAGUUUGAUUUGUUGUACUUUAAAAUGAAUGGAAGAAAUUAUAAGGAGCACAGAUAACUACAAAUAAUUCAAGGUUUGGGAAAAUGAAAUUGAAUAUAAAACUAUGAAAUGUUAUAGUAGCUAUAAAAUCCUAGUUUUUCAGUGUAGAAGAGUAAAGGUUAAAGAAUGACAGAAACUGUCUUGAAAUAGACAAAAGGAUAUAAAUAUCACAAUUAUAUCACUAGAGUAAACUUUAGAUUUCUUUUCCCAACCCAUAUCCUGACUGUCUACCACCAACCACCAUUUGACAGCAGAAGACACUGAGGCCAGGCAGGUGAAGCUGUUUGUUCAAGAACCAGAGUUGUUUCAUGGGAGAUCUAGAGAUUAGAGCCCAAGCAUCCUGACUUGUAGUUCUCUUUCCAUUUCUUAAGAUACAACCAUUAGGUAAUUUUAUGGAUUUUUUUCCCACAAAUAUACCAGGAUCUACGAUUGAUAUGAGCAUUCGCAUCAUUGUAACUGCUUCAGAAAGCUGGAAUAAUAGAACAUUUUAAAGUACUUCUUUUGGAACUAUUUGUAGACCCAAUUUAAAAGCCAGAAAAAGAACCUCACUGCUCUAUAAUUUUUAUUCUGAAAUAUUUGCUUAUGAUCUAUAAUGCAUUACCCAGCUUAAAUAAUAGAUGAAUCCAGCAACUUGUUUCUGAGUGACUUUUUGUCGUUGUUAAAAGUCAAAUCCAUCUUAGAGGACAGAGAUUUUUCCCCAGAAACUCUGAUGAAGGAAGGCUUUGAAAGUAAU
RNAcentral lists this long non-coding RNA (1200 nucleotides) under Homo sapiens (human). RNAcentral's name for it is "HSALNT0393660". Lineage: Eukaryota; Metazoa; Chordata; Mammalia; Primates; Hominidae. The record is from RNAcentral.